AUACGGAGGAUGCGAGCGAUAUCCGGAUUUAUUGGGUUUAAAGGGUGCGUAGGCGGGCUGUUAAGCGUGAGGUGAAAGCUCGGGGCUCAACCCGGGAACUGCCUCGCGAACUGGCGGGCUUGAAUGUCCGUGCCGUGGGUGGAAUUUGGGGUGUAGCGGUGAAAUGCGUAGAUAUCGAGCGGAACACCUGUGGCGAAGGCGGCUCACUUGAGCACAACUGACGCUGAGGCGCGAAAGCUAGGGGAGCAAACAGGAUUAGAUACCCUGGUAGUCCACGCUGUAAACGAUGAGUGCUUGGUGUAGCGGGUAUCGACCCCUGCUGUGCCGAAGUCAACACAUUAAGCACUCCGCCUGGGGAGUACGGUCGCAAGGCUGAAACUCAAAUGAAUUGACGG
RNAcentral lists this ribosomal RNA (395 nucleotides) under uncultured bacterium. RNAcentral describes it as "partial 16S ribosomal RNA". It matches the Rfam family "Bacterial small subunit ribosomal RNA", at positions 523 to 916 of the family's 1533-position model. The record is from RNAcentral.